RNAcentral lists this ribosomal RNA (290 nucleotides) under Clostridioides difficile. Its description in RNAcentral is "partial 23S ribosomal RNA". It matches the Rfam family "Bacterial large subunit ribosomal RNA", at positions 1897 to 2186 of the family's 2925-position model. Lineage: Bacteria; Bacillati; Bacillota; Clostridia; Peptostreptococcales; Peptostreptococcaceae. The record is from RNAcentral.
AAUCGAAGCAGUGAACUUAAGCCCCAGUAAACGGCGGCCGUAACUAUAACGGUCCUAAGGUAGCGAAAUUCCUUGUCGGGUAAGUUCCGACCCGCACGAAAGGCGUAACGAUUUGGGCACUGUCUCAACAACAGACUCGGUGAAAUUGUAAUUCCGGUGAAGAUGCCGGAUACCUGCGACAGGACGGAAAGACCCCAUGGAGCUUUACUGUAGCUUGACAUUGGGUCUUGGUACUACAUGUACAGGAUAGGUGGGAGGCUUUGAAACCAGGACGCCAGUUUUGGCGGAGC